Molecule: ribosomal RNA, 553 nt
Filed under: Colletotrichum gloeosporioides
Lineage: Eukaryota; Fungi; Ascomycota; Sordariomycetes; Glomerellales; Glomerellaceae
Description: eukaryotic LSU rRNA
Rfam family: 5.8S ribosomal RNA (bases 182-335)
Source: RNAcentral
GAGUAUCUUCCUGAGAGGGCGGACUACACCCUUUGCGAACAUACCUAUAACUGUUGCUUCGGCGGGUAGGGUCUCCGCGACCCUCCCGGCCUCCCGCCUCCGGGCGGGUCGGCGCCCGCCGGAGGAUAACCAAACUCUGAUUUAACGACGUUUCUUCUGAGUGGUACAAGCAAAUAAUCAAAACUUUUAACAACGGAUCUCUUGGUUCUGGCAUCGAUGAAGAACGCAGCGAAAUGCGAUAAGUAAUGUGAAUUGCAGAAUUCAGUGAAUCAUCGAAUCUUUGAACGCACAUUGCGCCCGCCAGCAUUCUGGCGGGCAUGCCUGUUCGAGCGUCAUUUCAACCCUCAAGCUCUGCUUGGUGUUGGGGCCCUACAGCUGAUGUAGGCCCUCAAAGGUAGUGGCGGACCCUCUCGGAGCCUCCUUUGCGUAGUAACUUUACGUCUCGCACUGGGAUCCGGAGGGACUCUUGCCGUAAAACCCCCAAUUUUCCAAAGGUUGACCUCGGAUCAGGUAGGAAUACCCGCUGAACUUAAGCAUAUCAAUUAAGCAGAGG